This 108-nucleotide ribosomal RNA is filed under the name Phascolarctos cinereus (koala). Lineage: Eukaryota; Metazoa; Chordata; Mammalia; Diprotodontia; Phascolarctidae. The record is from RNAcentral.
GGCAUAGCCAUAUCACCCUUAGCAUGCCUUAUCUCAGAAGCUAAGUAGCACUGGGAAUGGUUAGUACUUGGAUGAGAAAUCACAUCAAAAUACCAGAUGCUGUAGUUU